Molecule: transfer RNA, 73 nt
Filed under: Limulus polyphemus (Atlantic horseshoe crab)
Lineage: Eukaryota; Metazoa; Arthropoda; Merostomata; Xiphosura; Limulidae
Description: tRNA-Arg
Rfam family: tRNA
About the family: Transfer RNA (tRNA) molecules are approximately 80 nucleotides in length.
Source: RNAcentral
GCCUCUGUGGCCUAAUGGAUAAGGCAUCGGUCUCCUAAACCGGGGAUUGCGGGUUCGAGUCCCGCCAGAGGUA